UACGUAGGGGGCAAGCGUUGUCCGGAUUUAUUGGGCGUAAAGAGCGUGUAGGCGGCCAGAUAAGUCUGCUGUGAAAACUCGAGCUCAACCUCGAGACGCCGAUGGAAACCGUAUGGCUAGAGUCCGGAAGAGGAGAGUGGAAUUCCGUGGUGUAGCGGUGAAAUGCGCAGAUAUCAGGAAGAACACCCGUGGCGAAGGCGGCUCUCUGGGACGGUACUGACGCUGAGACGCGAAAGCGUGGGGAGCGAACAGG
RNAcentral lists this ribosomal RNA (253 nucleotides) under uncultured bacterium. RNAcentral describes it as "partial 16S ribosomal RNA". It matches the Rfam family "Bacterial small subunit ribosomal RNA", at positions 524 to 776 of the family's 1533-position model. The record is from RNAcentral.